UACAGAGGGGGCAAGCGUUGUUCGGAAUUACUGGGCGUAAAGGGCGCGUAGGCGGCCUUCUAAGUCGAACGUGAAAUCCCCGGGCUCAACCCGGGAACUGCGUCCGAUACUGGAAGGCUUGAAUCCGGGAGAGGGAUGCGGAAUUCCAGGUGUAGCGGUGAAAUGCGUAGAUAUCUGGAGGAACACCGGUGGCGAAGGCGACUCACUGGCCCGAUACUGACGCUGAGGCGCGAAAGCGUGGGGAGCAAACAGG
Molecule: ribosomal RNA, 253 nt
Filed under: uncultured bacterium
Lineage: Bacteria
Description: partial 16S ribosomal RNA
Rfam family: Bacterial small subunit ribosomal RNA
Source: RNAcentral